UACGUAGGGGGCGAGCGUUGUCCGGAUUUAUUGGGCGUAAAGAGCGUGUAGGCGGCCAGGUAGGUCAGCUGUGAAAACUCGAGGCUCAACCUCGAGAUGUCGGCUGAAACCAUCUGGCUAGAGUCCGGAAGAGGAGAAUGGAAUUCCCGGGUGUAAGCGGUGAAAUGCGCAGAUAUCGGGAAGAACACCCGUGGCGAAGGCGGUUCUCUGGGACGGUACUGACGCUGAGACGCGAAAGCGUGGGGAGCGAACAGG
This 255-nucleotide ribosomal RNA is filed under the name uncultured bacterium. RNAcentral describes it as "partial 16S ribosomal RNA". It matches the Rfam family "Bacterial small subunit ribosomal RNA", at positions 524 to 776 of the family's 1533-position model. The record is from RNAcentral.